Molecule: ribosomal RNA, 253 nt
Filed under: uncultured bacterium
Lineage: Bacteria
Description: partial 16S ribosomal RNA
Rfam family: Bacterial small subunit ribosomal RNA
Source: RNAcentral
UACGUAGGGGGCAAGCGUUGUCCGGAUUUAUUGGGCGUAAAGAGCGUGUAGGCGGCCAGGUAGGUCAGCUGUGAAAACUCGAGGCUCAACCUCGAGAUGUCGGCUGAAACCAUCUGGCUAGAGUCCGGAAGAGGAGAAUGGAAUUCCCGGUGUAGCGGUGAAAUGCGCAGAUAUCGGGAAGAACACCUAUGGCGAAGGCAGCUCUCUGGGACGGUACUGACGCUGAGACGCGAAAGCGUGGGGAGCGAACAGG